Molecule: ribosomal RNA, 492 nt
Filed under: uncultured bacterium
Lineage: Bacteria
Description: partial 16S ribosomal RNA
Rfam family: Bacterial small subunit ribosomal RNA
Source: RNAcentral
AGUGAACGCUGGCGGUAGGCCUAACACAUGCAAGUCGAACGGCAGCACAGUAAGAGCUUGCUCUUACGGGUGGCGAGUGGCGGACGGGUGAGGAAUACAUCGGAAUCUACUUUUUCGUGGGGGAUAACGUAGGGAAACUUACGCUAAUACCGCAUACGACCUACGGGUGAAAGCAGGGGAUCUUCGGACCUUGCGCGAUUGAAUGAGCCGAUGUCGGAUUAGCUAGUUGGCGGGGUAAAGGCCCACCAAGGCGACGAUCCGUAGCUGGUCUGAGAGGAUGAUCCGCCACACUGGAACUGAGACACGGUCCAGACUCCUACGGGAGGCAGCAGUGGGGAAUAUUGGACAAUGGGCGCAAGCCUGAUCCAGCCAUACCGCGUGGGUGAAGAAGGCCUUCGGGUUGUAAAGCCCUUUUGUUGGGAAAGAAAAGCAGCAGGUUAAUACCCCGCUGUUCUGACGGUACCCAAAGAAUAAGCACCGGCUAACUUCGCG